GUCUACGUCCAUACUACCUUGAAUGUGCCCAGUCUCAUCUGAUCUCAGAAGCUAAGCAGGGUCGAGUCUUGUUAGUACUUGGAUGGGAGACCACCCGGAAAUACCAGAUGCUACAGGCU
Cercocebus atys (sooty mangabey) is the source of this 119-nucleotide ribosomal RNA. Lineage: Eukaryota; Metazoa; Chordata; Mammalia; Primates; Cercopithecidae. The record is from Ensembl.